UGGCCACCCUGCACGGCUCGGUCCCACUGCUCCCGCAGCGGAGGCGAGGGCUGAAGUGCAUGAGGAAGGCUGAGCACCUCCUGUCUCUUCCACCUUUCCUCUUGAGCCGGCCGGUCGUGCACCCUGCAGUUCUCCUGCGGCACGAGAGGAAGGUGCAUGGGCUGUAGCAAGCACCGUAGCAUGCCAUUGUUUUCUGGCACUAAGUUGCUUCCUGAAGAUUACAUAGCAAGCCAGCAUCAGCAUCAAGAAGAGCCAAGCCGGACGAAGAUACUGGAGCAAAAGAGCCCAAGGAGUUUGCAGGUGGAGCUUUAUCAGCAUACCAAAAGGGUUGAUGUACUGAACGACAGAGGUUGCAGGCCUAGAUCUGCCUUGUACGCUUGAUGUCUCUAGCAGGUGCCACAAGCGAGGCAUCGUUUAACUGAGGAAG
RNAcentral lists this long non-coding RNA (427 nucleotides) under Struthio camelus australis. RNAcentral describes it as "lncRNA (ENSSCUG00000002508.1)". The record is from RNAcentral. Lineage: Eukaryota; Metazoa; Chordata; Aves; Struthioniformes; Struthionidae.